RNAcentral lists this unclassified non-coding RNA (345 nucleotides) under soil metagenome. Its description in RNAcentral is "partial contains 5.8S ribosomal RNA, internal transcribed spacer 2, and large subunit ribosomal RNA". The stretch from base 1 to 120 matches the Rfam family "5.8S ribosomal RNA", at positions 35 to 154 of the family's 154-position model. The record is from RNAcentral.
GAUGAAGUACGCAGCGAAAUGCGAUACGUAAUGUGAAUUGCAGAAUUCAGUGAAUCAUCGAGUCUUUGAACGCACAUUGCGCCCCCUGGUAUUCCGGGGGGCAUGCCUGUCCGAGCGUCAUUGCUGCCCUCAAGCACGGCUUGUGUGUUGGGCCUCCGUCCUCCUCCCGGGGGACGGGCCCGAAAGGCAGCGGCGGCACCGCGUCCGGUCCUCGAGCGUAUGGGGCUUCGUCACCCGCUCUUGUAGGCCCGGCCGGCGCUUGCCGACACAUCAAUCUUUUUUCCAGGUUGACCUCGGAUCAGGUAGGGAUACCCGCUGAACUUAAGCAUAUCAAUAAGCGGAGGA